Non-coding RNA from Rattus norvegicus (Norway rat), 69 nucleotides. The record is from Rfam. NCBI's taxonomy places the organism in Eukaryota, Metazoa, Chordata, Mammalia, Rodentia, Muridae.
GGGGAUUUGGCUCAGUGGUAGAGCGCUUGCCUAGGAAGCGCAAGGCCCUGGGUUCGGUCCCCAGCCCCC